ACGAGGGUUCAUGCGUGCGAGUGCUACUACUAACCACUAGAUUUUGUCCUAUAGAUACCAUUCCAUACAGUUCCAGAGAGUAGCCCUGGCAAAAAUGCAGGUAGGAUCAAGACAAUCUUAGGUUAGAUCGUUAUAGCAAGGAAAAGGUAAGGUAGAUAAAGGUUAAUAACGAGGAUUCAUGCGUGUGAGUGCUACUACUAACCACUAGUUUUUGUCCUAUAGAUACCAUUCCAUACAAUUCCAGAGAGUAGCCCUGGCAAAAAUGCAAGUAGGAUCAGGACAAUCUUAGGUUAGAUCGUUAUAGCAAGGAAAAGGUAAGGUAGAUAAAGUUUAAUAACGAGGGUUCAUGCGUGCGAGUGCUACUACUAACCACUAGAUUUUGUCCUAUAGAUACCAUUCCAUACAGUUCCAGAGAGUAGCCCUGGCAAAAAUGCAGGUAGGAUCAAGACAAUCUUAGGUUAGAUCGUUAUAGCAAGGAAAAGGUAAGGUAGAUAAAGGUUAAUAACGA
Long non-coding RNA from Ostrinia furnacalis (Asian corn borer), 508 nucleotides. RefSeq lists it as uncharacterized. The record is from RefSeq and is a predicted model, not a curated record. Lineage: Eukaryota; Metazoa; Arthropoda; Insecta; Lepidoptera; Crambidae. The transcript is spliced from 2 exons.